This 549-nucleotide ribosomal RNA is filed under the name Curvularia geniculata. RNAcentral describes it as "eukaryotic LSU rRNA". The stretch from base 196 to 349 matches the Rfam family "5.8S ribosomal RNA". Lineage: Eukaryota; Fungi; Ascomycota; Dothideomycetes; Pleosporales; Pleosporaceae. The record is from RNAcentral. RNAcentral also lists the same sequence under 1 other name.
UCUCCGUAGGUGAACCUGCGGAGGGAUCAUUACACAAUACAAUAUGAAGGCUGUCCGCAGCUGGAGUAUUUUAUUACCCUUGUCUUUUGCGCACUUGUUGUUUCCUGGGCGGGUUCGCUCGCCACCAGGACCACCAAAUAAACCUUUUUUAUGCAGUUGCAAUCAGCGUCAGUACAAACAAUGUAAAUCAUUUACAACUUUCAACAACGGAUCUCUUGGUUCUGGCAUCGAUGAAGAACGCAGCGAAAUGCGAUACGUAGUGUGAAUUGCAGAAUUCAGUGAAUCAUCGAAUCUUUGAACGCACAUUGCGCCCUUUGGUAUUCCAAAGGGCAUGCCUGUUCGAGCGUCAUUUGUACCCUCAAGCUUUGCUUGGUGUUGGGCGUUUUUGUCUUUGGUCGCCCAAAGACUCGCCUUAAAGUGAUUGGCAGCCGGCCUUUCUGGUUUCGCAGCGCAGCACAUUUUUGCGCUUGCCAUCAGCAAAACGGCAAUCCAUCAAGCCUCCUUCUCACGUUUGACCUCGGAUCAGGUAGGGAUACCCGCUGAACUUAA